CAGGUUUCCAUAGUGGGAGAAGCACAGAAAUUCCAGCAACUCCCUGGGAUGCCUGUUCUCAUGUCCUGGCAUUUUCUUUCCACCUUCAAGAAUUCUUUGGUGGCCAUGUAUCGAAUCAUUUCCAAGGUAUAUGUUUAUAUUUCAGGAGGAACACAGGGAAAAGUGAGUCUAAAAUAUCUUGUUCCUCCAUGUAUUUUCGAAAUAAGGUCAUCUAUCAUUUUUCUUGUUUUUUCAGCAAAAGGAUUGGAUGAAGCACUUAGCCAUAUUCCUGGAACUGGAUUUCUAUAUUCCACCAGGAGGGAGGCUUAUUUACACUUCCCCUCAGUGAUGGUUAGAGUUGGGUAUAGAACAUCUCCCAAGCCCCAUAUGUUAAAAGGAUUGGUCCUCAGAUCACGGUGUUAGCAGAAGUGGCAGCAUCUUUAAAAGGUAAGGAAUAACUAGAGGAAGUUAAGUCACUGGGGUUGUGUCCUAACAGGGCAUAUUGGCACUCUGGCUCCUUUCAGUCUCUCCCUUUGCUUUCUAGAGAUAACAGCCUUCCCGUGCCAUCCGUUCCCACCAAGAAGUACUGUGUUGCCACAGGCCCAAAACAGCAAGGAAAAAUGACCAUCAGCUGAAACUUCUAAAAUUGUG
Molecule: long non-coding RNA, 630 nt
Filed under: Fukomys damarensis (Damara mole-rat)
Lineage: Eukaryota; Metazoa; Chordata; Mammalia; Rodentia; Bathyergidae
Description: lncRNA (ENSFDAG00000029721.1)
Source: RNAcentral